RNAcentral lists this ribosomal RNA (468 nucleotides) under uncultured bacterium. Its description in RNAcentral is "partial 16S ribosomal RNA". It matches the Rfam family "Bacterial small subunit ribosomal RNA", at positions 28 to 507 of the family's 1533-position model. The record is from RNAcentral.
GACGAACGCUGGCGGCGUGCUUAACACAUGCAAGUCGAACGGAAAGGCCCUGCUUUUGUGGGGUGCUCGAGUGGCGAACGGGUGAGUAACACGUGAGUAACCUGCCCUUGACUUUGGGAUAACUUCAGGAAACUGGGGCUAAUACCGGCUAGGAGCUCCUGCUGCAUGGUGGGGGUUGGAAGGUUUCGGCGGUUGGGGAUGGACUCGCGCCUUAUCAGCUUGUUGGUGGGGUAGUGGCUUACCAAGGCUUGGACGGGUAGCCGGCCUGAGAGGGUGACCGGCCACAUUGGGACUGAGAUACGGCCCAGACUCCUACGGGAGGCAGCAGUGGGGAAUAUUGCACUAUGGGCGGAAGCCUGAUGCAGCAACGCCGCGUGCGGGAUGACGGCCUUCGGGUUGUAAACCGCUUUCGCCUGUGACGAAGCGUGAGUGACGGUAAUGGGUAAAGAAGCACCGGCUAACUACGUG